AACGAACGCUGGCGGCAUGCCUAACACAUGCAAGUCGAACGAGACCUUCGGGUCUAGUGGCGCACGGGUGCGUAACGCGUGGGAACCUGCCCUUAGGUUCGGAAUAACUCCCCGAAAGGGGUGCUAAUACCGGAUAAUGUCUUUGGACCAAAGAUUUAUCGCCUUUGGAUGGGCCCGCGUUGGAUUAGCUAGUUGGUAGGGUAAAAGCCUACCAAGGCGACGAUCCAUAGCUGGUCUGAGAGGAUGAUCAGCCACACUGGGACUGAGACACGGCCCAGACUCCUACGGGAGGCAGCAGUGGGGAAUAUUGGACAAUGGGCGAAAGCCUGAUCCAGCAAUGCCGCGUGAGUGAUGAAGGCCUUAGGGUUGUAAAGCUCUUUUACCCGGGAUGAUAAUGACAGUACCGGGAGAAUAAGCUCCGGCUAACUCCGUG
RNAcentral lists this ribosomal RNA (433 nucleotides) under uncultured bacterium. Its description in RNAcentral is "partial 16S ribosomal RNA". It matches the Rfam family "Bacterial small subunit ribosomal RNA", at positions 29 to 507 of the family's 1533-position model. The record is from RNAcentral.